RNA transcript from Lepidothrix coronata (blue-crowned manakin), 5174 nucleotides. It is a transcript of the gene named phosphodiesterase 1A, with no coding region annotated. The record is from RefSeq and is a predicted model, not a curated record. The transcript has 17 exons. NCBI's taxonomy places the organism in Eukaryota, Metazoa, Chordata, Aves, Passeriformes, Pipridae.
GGAGCUGUGUGUACUUGCUCUGUGCUUGGGGGGGAAGAGUGGAUUUGUCUGUCAGUGAAUAGCAAUUCAGGCAGGAUCGUCCCUCAGCUGUUGUAAUUCUGAUGUGUUUUGAUAUGACAGCAGCUACUGUCUAACAUGCGUGGAUCUUCUGAAAUUUGUAGUGGACUAAAGACUGCUUUUACUUGCUGCUGAGCCUGACUGUAACUGUAUCGCUGUAGGACAAUAACGAUGGGGGCUCGAGCGACUGAAACAACUCGGGAACUGGAAAGCGCCUCUGCAAAGUAUCAAAUAGGAGGACAUGCAGAGAAAAUGUGGCAACGGCUCAAAGGAAUAUUAAGAUGCUUGGUAAAGCAGCUGGAGAAGGGUGACAUUAAUGUGGUGGAUUUAAAAAAGAAUAUUGAAUAUGCAGCAUCUGUUCUGGAAGCCGUUUAUAUUGAUGAAACCAGGAAACUUUUGGACACUGAGGAUGAACUCUCUGACAUCCAGUCGGAUUCGGUCCCGCUGGAAGUGCGGGACUGGUUAGCUUCUACAUUCACAAGAGAAAUGGGAAUAGCGAAGAGGAGAUCUGAAGAAAAGCCCAAAUUCCGAAGCAUUGUGCAUGCUGUACAGGCUGGGAUUUUUGUAGAAAGGAUGUAUCGAAGAACUUCAAGCAUGGUUGGUUUGGCAUACCCAUCAGAAGUGAUAGUCACAUUUAAGGAUGUUGAUAAAUGGUCUUUUGACGUAUUUACCCUAAAUGAAGCAAGUGGAGAGCACAGUCUGAAAUUUAUGAUGUAUGAGCUGUUUACCCGAUAUGACCUUUUGAGCCGUUUCAAGAUCCCUGUUCCCAAUCUUAUUUCAUUUGCUGAAGCUCUUGAAGUUGGUUACAGCAAAUACAAAAAUCCAUACCACAAUUUGGUCCAUGCAGCUGACGUUACUCAAACUGUGCAUUACAUAAUGAUUCACACUGGUAUCAUGCACUGGCUCACAGAACUGGAAAUUUUAGCAAUGAUCUUUGCAGCUGCCGUCCAUGAUUAUGAACAUACUGGGACCACAAACAAUUUUCAUAUUCAGACAAGGUCAGAUGUUGCUAUAUUGUACAAUGAUCGUUCUGUUCUUGAAAAUCAUCAUGUAAGUGCUGCUUAUAGACUCAUGCAAGAAGAAGAGAUGAACAUCCUGGGUAAUUUAAACAAAGAUGACUGGAGGGAGUUGCGUAGCUUGGUCAUUGAGAUGGUCUUGUCUACAGAUAUGUCAGGUCACUUUCAACAAAUUAAAACGAUGCGACACACUCUACAGCAGACACAGGGGGUAGACAAAGCCAAAGCCAUGUCUUUGAUUCUACAUGCAGCAGACAUAAGCCAUCCAGCAAAAUCCUGGGAACUGCACUACCGGUGGACCAUGGCCCUGAUGGAAGAAUUUUUUCGACAGGGAGACAAGGAAGCUGCUUUAGGUCUUCAGUUUUCCCCACUCUGUGACCGCAAGUCCACUUUGGUCGCUCAGUCCCAAAUAGGUUUCAUUGAUUUCAUUGUAGAACCAACAUUUUCUCUUCUUACGGACUCAAUGGAGAAAAUUGUUAUGCCUCUUAUAGAGGAAGCAUCAAAAUCUGAAAGUCCUGCAUUUGGGACCCCCAGUCAAAAUAGUUUGGGAGUAGUAAGCAAUGCUGAAGCACAAAGACGACCUGGUUUUAAAAGCACAGGUGAUGGAGGGACUCACGCAGAAAAUUCUCUAGCAACUGUAGACCUAAGGAGCUUUAAGGACAACUUGAUGAAGAUCAUUCAAGCAAACAAAGAAAGAUGGAAAGAAUUAGCAGCAGAAGAAGAACUUGUGAAAAAUGUUGAUGAACAGGAAAAAGACCAAAGCAGAAAUUCCACAGAUGCACAGUUACAGGAAGAGACAACAAGGAUACAAAAUGAGAGUAGUCAGGGAAGUGAUGGUACAACCUGUCCUCCCCGAUCCAUCGUCCUACAAGUAGUCUCUUUCGACACUUCUCUGAGUGAUGAAUCCAACUCAGAAAAAUGCACUAACUCUGAUCCGAACCAGAAAGAUCUCACCGAUGCCCAGCAAGAAACACAGAAUACAGACCCACUGAAUGGUGAGCCUAAACACUGUAAGAAGCCAGAAGACAUGGUAAAAGCCACGGAGCAGAAAGAAGCACUGAUACAAAACUAGAUUUUCUAUUUCUUAAAAGCUUCUGACAUUUCAGGCAGGACAGGAGAAAAGAAGCACUCUAGCUGUUCCUACCUCGUGCUCUCAGAGGCCAUUAUCUGUCAACUUGUUCUUGGAUCAUCCUGUUUCUGUGGAAAGUGAACGGACAAAAUGUUCAAAAGUGUAAAAUGUAAAACUGAACUGGUAAAUCAAGGCACUUAACAACUUGCAAGAUUUCGGUUGUAUUUGUUGUUGCUAUUUCCUCUUCUAUUCUGCUUUCUUAAAUUAGCCAAAAUAAUUUUUUCAGCCAAAGUUGGACCUUGCUUUGUUGCAUCACUGGCAUCAAACAUUUCCAGUUAACCAUGAGAUAUGUGAAAACACGACAUUUAUCAUCUGCCUGGGAUUGCUGUUACAUGUCACUGCUGCUGGCAUCCAGUGAAAAUGGAAAGUCAAAAUGAAAUGUGUUUCUAAAUACUUGUUCAUGCAAUCAUACUGCAUGCAACAUAAAAGUCUUACUUGUUAGUUUCCUUAAAAUAUCUGGAAAUAAAUGUAUGUAGACUGUACAGAGAAGUUGCAGAGUUACACUGACCAGCCUGCAUAGAUGAUGAUUUUUCUCCACUGUGGUGGCUGCCAUAUGGACAGAACUGGCGUUGAACUGAGAAGUAUUUGAAAUAUCUGAGUAUUUUGGAAGACAUCAGCAAUGUUGUCAGCCCUACCAUGAAGCUGGUGCUUAUUGUUUUAUAGGGUAGAAGAGACAGCAACAGGAAUACAUGAAAAUUACUUCACUUCAGCAAAAUAAUGUGUUGCCUCUCAGACAGAAUUGGAAGGUGACACUGAAGCCUUAUAUUAUGAUUUAUCUCACAUGCAAAGUCAACAACAUGCAUCCUGCAAAAUCUUUGCCAGUGUUUGUUUCUUUCUGAGGGGUGGCAAAAACAGAGCACAUGGGCAGUCACCUUUGCAAGAAGCCUCAGAAGGAGCCCAGAAAGAAACUCCAUUUUCAUCUCCACUUCCCUCAAGCUGCACAUGACUCCUCCAGACUUGUCUGGGUGUCCUGUGUAGCUGCAGCCAACCUCAUUUCCCUCUGCUGGAACCUGCCAGGAAACUUCCAGGCUCCCCUUCAAGUUGUAGGCUCUUGGGUGGCUCAGGUUGCUGCUCUCCCAGCUCUCAUUUUUGGACCCUGUGGUUAUUAUCUCACUGACCAAAAAGUCUUUAUAAUCAGCCAUGGUCUGCUCUGAAGAGGACUCAUGGGGCAGUGGCACUCCUCUCUGUGCAGAGGGUGAUUGAGAUCUACGUGUCAUUCAUCUGCUGUUUCAGGGGUCUGAGUAGAGCUCAACAGGCAUCAGGCUCAACUUCAAAAAGGGCAUGCUUUGUCCCAAUUGAAGAAGGAGUUGUAAAACAAUCACCCUGGACUGAGGGACCCUUACAUGUUCAUACCUGUUGACUGUCUCUUUUCUGACAGCGGAGCAAUCAAAACUGAGCUGGGAACAGUGUAAACUCUGAGCCGUGGGAUAAGAGCAUGCCAAAAGCAAGUUUUUACCUGGCCAUGACCCAAAGCUUGGUGUGUUGUUUGGAUGAGGAGAAAUUUUCUUUGGUGGAGAAGGCUGAUACAGCUAACAUGUGUUACUUAAGGUUUUGACAUGGGGUAAAAUUUGUGUUUGGAUGGCAGAAAGGUUUCUUGAGAGAGCCUCUCCCUGAGCGGUAGUUUAUCUCUGAAACCUGUAAGGCUGCUUUACCAAAACACUGCAUGGGGCCAUAAGAAAUGGUGUUUGUUUAUGCGUCUCUCCCACAGCAUUAUGGGCAUGUACCCUGCAUUGAGCACACUGAGGAGCUGUAGCUAUAGAUGAGUCCUCAAGAGUUUCAUUUUGCAUUUUUAUCUUGAGAUAUCUGAGAGAUAUAUUAUGUAAUAUUGUUAUAGGUUAUGAUCUAGUCAGUAUUUUUUUAAUUUAAUUUUCAACACGGCAAUCUACAACUGUGUGUUUUAUUCUGCUAUAUAUGUCCAUAUUUCCUAUGAUGAUCUUCCCAAAUAAAUUUGAUUUGAGGGCAAGGAUUGUGAAGCUCCUGAGUGUUAGUUACAAAUCUGCUUUCCUGAAGCAUGUUUGCUCAUUUGUGUAAGAUUGUCUUUGAGGAGUGACAGAGCACAUAUGGUUGUUUCCAACCCUUUCACCCACUCGGGACUCCACACUUUUUCUGUAACUGUAUCAGUUUGCCAUACAAAAUCACUUACAUCCUCAUAGCACACUUGAAAACAGUACCUUUAAGCAAGUCUUGAAUUCUUAUCCCUUAUGGCUAAAACAGCCCUCACAUGAAGAAAAACAACCAAUAGUACAUUUUUUUACACAAAAAAAAAUCUUACUGUGGGUUGAAAUUGAAGGAACCACUGAGACUGUUCUUGUUAGCAACAGGUCGUCUGGAAGAGUACAACUUUCAGUGGCACCUCCAUGACCUGGUGUAAAUUUUAUAAUCCAAGUUCAGUGUUGUGAGUAUAAAAUGCCCUUUUUUUUCUGGAAGAUUUUGUUACUAGGAGAUAGAGUUUUUGCUUAGGAAGGCUUUCUACCUGAAAGGCAGCUCUCUCUCAAAGGCAGUUUCAAUGCCUUCUCCCCACCCUUCAUACCAAGAGAAGUUCUCAGCCUCUCUCUCUGAUAUGUGAGAGGAGAGAGAUAACAUUUACAGAAAUGCUACAGGGCUGCUGUGGCCAGGGGAGAGUCGGGGGGGCCAACAAUGAUAAAGCCUGUGAGCGAAUGGGAGGUUUGCCUUUUCCUCUGAGGCCUGGUGCUGUCUUGCAGUGCCAAGAAGUUUGUAAGUUUUAAUGUCUUUGCCUCCGAAAUAAACCCUUUGAAUCCCUUCCACUGCUUUGGCAUUUCUGGGGAAGAUACCUGCAUAUAUUUUACCUUACAAGUGUAACUGGGAUUAAACAGGGUCCCUUCCUACUCUGACUGGAAAUAAAUGGAAAGAAUCCCAUCGAUUCAAACAUGUAUCAAAUCCUGACUAGGUACAUGAUGGGAAUAAAUCAAGACAACUACUUUAUACCUCGUUCUUUGCAGUUCCUUUUUUCC